GGGGACGCUACGGAUUCGACAGGAGUAGUUCGAGCUUAAGCGGCGAGUCGAGGGGUCGCGGCCUCGUAAAAACGCAACCUAAUAAUAACUGGCAAACAAAAUUACGCUUUAGCUGCCUAAUUUGCGCAGCUAGAUCCUUCCUCCAUCGCCCAUGUGGAGAGCAAGGGUCUCAAACUGAGUGGGCUUACGCCUGAUCCCGCCGUCUGAGGGAGAGGGAAGAGACGAAUCAGACUAGCCGCUUGGAUGCCCGUUGGUAGGCGGAAGAGAUGGCGAAAACCUAAUAUGCCAACUACACUCGUAGAAGCUUAAGUGGCGAUGCUUUUGGACGUGGGUUCGACUCCCACCGUCUCCAUAC
Molecule: transfer-messenger RNA, 355 nt
Filed under: Calidifontibacillus erzurumensis
Lineage: Bacteria; Bacillati; Bacillota; Bacilli; Caryophanales; Bacillaceae
Description: Standard tmRNA
Rfam family: transfer-messenger RNA
About the family: Bacterial tmRNA, also known as 10Sa RNA or SsrA, is named for its dual tRNA and mRNA-like properties. Its role is to liberate the mRNA from a stalled ribosome.
Source: Rfam by way of RNAcentral